UACGAAGGGGGCUAGCGUUGUUCGGAAUUACUGGGCGUAAAGGGCGCGUAGGCGGUGGAUCAAGUCAGGCGUGAAAGCCCCGGGCUCAACCUGGGAAUUGCAUUCGAGACUGAAUAGCUAGGGUACGGUAGAGGGAAGCGGAAUUUCCGGUGUAGCGGUGAAAUGCGUAGAUAUCGGAAGGAACAUCAGUGGCGAAAGCGGCUUCCUGGACCAGUACCGACGUUCAGGCACGAAAGCGUGGGGAGCAAACAGG
RNAcentral lists this ribosomal RNA (253 nucleotides) under uncultured bacterium. RNAcentral's name for it is "partial 16S ribosomal RNA". It matches the Rfam family "Bacterial small subunit ribosomal RNA", at positions 524 to 776 of the family's 1533-position model. The record is from RNAcentral.